RNAcentral lists this ribosomal RNA (253 nucleotides) under uncultured bacterium. RNAcentral's name for it is "partial 16S ribosomal RNA". It matches the Rfam family "Bacterial small subunit ribosomal RNA", at positions 524 to 776 of the family's 1533-position model. The record is from RNAcentral.
UACGAGGGGGGCGAGCGUUGUUCGGAAUUAUUGGGCGUAAAGGGUGCGUAGGCGGUUUGGUAAGCCUGAUGUGAAAUCUAUGGGCUCAACUCAUAGUCUGCAUCGGAAACUGCCGGGCUUGAGUGUGGGAGAGGUGAGUGGAAUUCCUGGUGUAGCGGUGAAAUGCGUAGAUAUCAGGAGGAACACCUGUGGCGAAAGCGGCUCACUGGACCAUAACUGACGCUGAUGCACGAAAGCUAGGGGAGCAAACAGG